UGGGAACCUUCCCUAUGGUUCGGAAUAGCUCAGGGAAACUUGGGGUAAUACCGGAUACGCCCUUACGGGGAAAGAUUUAUCGCUGAUGGAGCGGCCCGCGUCUGAUUAGCUAGUUGGUGAGGUAACGGCUCACCAAGGCGACGAUCAGUAGCUGGUCUGAGAGGAUGAUCAGCCUCACUGGGACUGAGACACGGCCCAGACUCCUACGGGAGGCAG
This 216-nucleotide ribosomal RNA is filed under the name uncultured bacterium. RNAcentral's name for it is "partial 16S ribosomal RNA". It matches the Rfam family "Bacterial small subunit ribosomal RNA", at positions 118 to 351 of the family's 1533-position model. The record is from RNAcentral.